AGAGUUUGAUCAUGGCUCAGGAUGAACGUUGGCGGUGUGACCUAAUACAUGACAAGUCGAACGGUGACGUAUUUGUAGCAAUACGAAUGAAAUCAUAGUGGCGAACGGGUGAGUAACGCGUUGGUGAUCUGCCUCGAAGUGUGGAAACAACUUCCCGAAAGGGUAGCUAAUACCGCAUAGUCUCUCAGGGUUUAGAAAACUGAGAGUAAAGGAUUUUAUUCGCUUCGAGAGGAGCCUGCGUCCCAUCAGCUAGUUGGUAGGGUAACGGCCUACCAAGGCAAUGACGGGUAGGGGACCUGAGAGGGUGGCCCCCCACAAUGGAACUGAAACACGGUCCAUACACCUACGGGUGGCAGCAGUAGGGAAUAUUAGAAAUGGGCGAAAGCCUGAUCUAGCAACACCGCGUGUGCGAUGAAGGCCUUCGGGUCGUAAAGCACUUUUUGGAGGGAAUAGGAAGGAAGGUACCUCCAGAAUAAGUCUCGGCUAACUACGUGCCAGCCGCUGC
RNAcentral lists this ribosomal RNA (505 nucleotides) under uncultured bacterium. RNAcentral describes it as "bacterial SSU rRNA". It matches the Rfam family "Bacterial small subunit ribosomal RNA", at positions 8 to 518 of the family's 1533-position model. The record is from RNAcentral.